Molecule: ribosomal RNA, 496 nt
Filed under: uncultured bacterium
Lineage: Bacteria
Description: partial 16S ribosomal RNA
Rfam family: Bacterial small subunit ribosomal RNA
Source: RNAcentral
GAUGAACGCUGGCGGCGUGCCUAAUACAUGCAAGUCGAGCGAACAGACGAGGAGCUUGCUCCUCUGACGUUAGCGGCGGCCGGGUGAGUAACACGUGGAUACCCUCCCUAUAAGACUGGGAUAACUUCGGGAAACCGGACCUAAUACCGGAUAAUAUAUUGAACCGCAUGGUUCAAUAGUGAAAGACGGUUUUGCUGUCACUUAUAGCUGGAUCCGCGCCGCAUUGGCUAGUUGGUAAGGUAACGGCUUACCAAGGCAACGAUGCGUAGCCGACCUGAGAGGGUGAUCGGCCACACUGGAACUGAGACACGGUCCAGACUCCUACGGGAGGCAGCAGUAGGGAAUCUUCCGCAAUGGGCGAAAGCCUGACGGAGCAACGCCGCGUGAGUGAUGAAGGUCUUCGGAUCGUAAAACUCUGUUAUUAGGGAAGAACAAAUGUGUAAGUAACUAUGCACGUCUUGACGGUACCUAAUCAGAAAGCCACGGCUAACUACGU